UUAUGAUAAGGCCAUAACUUAGUCGUAGAAAGGAAAUUAGGGGAAUUUUUUGAUCCCUUGUUUAAGUGUCAUUGGAUGUAGUUUUCUCUAUAUUUAUUCUAAUUUAUUUUGUGGAUUUGUUCUUACAUAUAUAUUAGUUAUUAGUUAUCAGUCAGAUAGUUCAUUGUAAUAAUUGAUCACGUUUGUAUCUAUAGUCGAAUGCAUUGAUUGUAAUUAUUAUUGUAAUUUCAUGGACGGUGUUUCUUUGUCCAGCUGAAUUGGAAAUGCAUUACAGCUUUUCGGAUGCUCUUUUUGUACCAAAAUAGUUUUUAUCGUCUCUUUUCAUGUUGGGGAGGGUUUGUUCUCACCUUUUUUUUGGUUGAGGUAGUAUUCUCUUAUGUUAGAUAAAGUUUAUAAUUCAUUUCUCUUCAAUUGCAGGGGCAAAUGCUUACUUCUUUGGAAAAGGUAUGCCGAUUAUGCUGUAUAUUGAAUAUUUGAAUUUCUGAUAUUCUAUUGAGUGUUGAAUUGAAUUCUACAUUGCAGGUGGUAGAAUGGUUUGCGUUGCAGACCAAUGUGCAAGGCGGUCAAGUUUAUAUCUUAAUUUUCCCCUUUGAUUGGCAAAGGAUCAUGUUCUAUUCAUGCUCGAAAAUAGUUUCUAGCAUAUGUUGAAAAAGCAAAGACUACCGGAUGGUUGGAUUCAUCAUUUCAUUGUGGCAAUUCCAUAAACGGUAAAGAGAAUGGGGCCUGCCAAUAAUAACGAGUAAGUUUUCUCAUCCUUUGUUGUACACCAUUUUAUAUAACAUUAGAUAUACUAAAAUGGUUAUGAUGUUGGGAUUUGAAUCCCAGAUGCCACGUCUUGAAGGUGUUUGCAUGAGCAAUAGGUUGAAUGCAAAUUUUGAUUCUAAUUUAUUAAUCCCAAUCAUUCCACUCUUAUCAGAGCUGACAUGCUCAAUUGUUUUUACUCUUAAAAUUAAUCACUCGUAGGUUUACAGGGAAGUUGAGUUCCUUCUAGCUGUGCCCUGGUAUUGCAGAGAAUAAGUUAAGAAUUGACUUAAAUUUAAACAUUUGCCUGACACACGCUGCAUUAUUGUUGAAGUCAGCAUGUUUUGUUUUGUUUUGUUUUUGCCAUUACAGCUGCUAUAGUUAUGUAAAGAGAAUGGGGCCUGCCAAUAAUAAUGAGCAUGUAGGCACUAAAUCUGCAGUUCAAAUUCGAAGUCAUGCUCAAAAGUUUUUCUCUAAGGUUCAUUGCUUUGAGUUCAUUACAAGAUUUCCUUGAUUAAGUAAAUGUAUUAUAUCUUUUAUUACCAAGAUUUACUUGAUUAAGAAAAUGCAUUGUAUUUUUUAUUACCUUGCAAUGUGUACAGUUAUAGGCAGGUUCAACUAGUUAGUCUGUUUCUCAUAUGUAUUAUUUAUUUUAGUUUUGAUUCUAAAUUUUUAUUUUUACUUUAAUAUUUACGAAAAAUUGAGUUCUAACUUUUGGAUUUUAAUUGUGUUAUUAAUUUAUUAUUUUAAAUUCUAAAACUAAAUUCUAAAACUAAAUUCAUUAAUUUUUAUAUUUAGUUUUAAAGUUAAAAUUUUCAUAGAAAAUUUAAUUUAAAUAAUAUUUUUUUGUUUAUCCUUAAAAGUAUAUUUAAAGUU
RNAcentral lists this long non-coding RNA (1617 nucleotides) under Gossypium barbadense (sea-island cotton). RNAcentral describes it as "long non-coding RNA (GBAR_LNC016986)". Lineage: Eukaryota; Viridiplantae; Streptophyta; Magnoliopsida; Malvales; Malvaceae. The record is from RNAcentral.